UCGCUGGCCCCUAGGGUCGUGCACGCUCGUCGUUCCUCAUUUCUCCAUCUUACUUGUGCACCUCUCGUGUGGAUCCAUGCGUGUCCUUUGCGGACGAUGGGGGGACUGCUUUGCAAUAACUUUUGCGGGCUUUCCUUGUGAUCCUAUAUAUAUAUACUCCAGUGCAGAGAAGGAACGAUAUGAAAUAUUAUUAUACAACUUUCAGCAACGGAUCUCUUGGCUCUCGCAUCGAUGAAGAACGCAGCGAAAUGCGAUAAGUAAUGUGAAUUGCAGAAUUCAGUGAAUCAUCGAAUCUUUGAACGCAUCUUGCGCUCCUCGGUAUUCCAAGGAGCAUGCCUGUUUGAGUGUCAUUUAUAUAUCUCAACCCGCACCCGCGAGGGUCGUCGGGCUUGGACUUGGGGGUUACAGGCUCUGCUGUGUUGUAGUCUGCUCUCCUGAAAUGCAUGGAGCGGCAAUGAAAGCCCUAAGGUGUGAUACAUUUAUCUGCAUCUGUGGGCGUGUUCCUUGCUGCUCAAUAAGGAUGGCUGUUGAUAAUCUUGACCUCAAAUCAGGUAGGACCACCCGCUGAACUUAAGCAUAUCAAUAAGCGGAGGAAAAGAAACUAACCAGGAUUCCCGUAGUAACUGCGAGUGAAGUGGGAAGAGCUCAAAUUUGUA
This 656-nucleotide ribosomal RNA is filed under the name Inocybe sp. YM1356. RNAcentral's name for it is "eukaryotic LSU rRNA". The stretch from base 197 to 350 matches the Rfam family "5.8S ribosomal RNA". The record is from RNAcentral. Lineage: Eukaryota; Fungi; Basidiomycota; Agaricomycetes; Agaricales; Inocybaceae.